UGGGGAAUUUUGGACAAUGGGGGAAACCCUGAUCCAGCCAUCCCGCGUGUGCGAUGAAGGCCUUCUGGUUUUAAAGCACUUUUGGCAGGAAAGAAACGUCAUGGGUUAAUACCCCGUGAAACUGACGGUACCUGCAGAAUAAGCACCGGCUAACUACGUGCCAGCAGCCGCGGUAAUACGUAGGGUGCAAGCGUUAAUCGGAAUUACUGGGCGUAAAGCGUGCGCAGGCGGUUCGGAAAGAAAGAUGUGAAAUCCCAGAGCUCAACUUUGGAACUGCAUUUUUAACUGCCGGGCUAGAGUGUGUCAGAGGGAGGUGGAAUUCCGCGUGUAGCAGUGAAAUGCGUAGAUAUGCGGAGGAACACCGAUGGCGAAGGCAGCCUCCUGGGAUAACACUGACGCUCAUGCACGAAAGCGUGGGGAGCAAACAGG
RNAcentral lists this ribosomal RNA (429 nucleotides) under Acidobacteriota bacterium. RNAcentral's name for it is "Acidobacteria bacterium partial 16S ribosomal RNA". It matches the Rfam family "Bacterial small subunit ribosomal RNA", at positions 355 to 776 of the family's 1533-position model. Lineage: Bacteria; Pseudomonadati; Acidobacteriota. The record is from RNAcentral.